This 230-nucleotide ribosomal RNA is filed under the name uncultured microorganism. RNAcentral describes it as "partial 16S ribosomal RNA". It matches the Rfam family "Bacterial small subunit ribosomal RNA", at positions 524 to 753 of the family's 1533-position model. The record is from RNAcentral.
CACGUAGGAGGCAAACGUUAUCCGGAUUUACUGGGCGUAAAGCGCGUGCAGGCUGUUCAACAAGUUGGGCGUGAAAGCUCCCGGCUCAACUGGGAGAGGUCGUUCAAUACUGUUGGACUAGAGGAUGGUAGAGGAAGGCGGAAUUCCGGGUGUGGCGGUGGAAUGCGCAGAUAUCAGGAGGAACACCGAUGGCGAAGGCGAUCUCUUGGUCCAUUACUGACGCUGAGGCG